RNAcentral lists this small RNA (98 nucleotides) under Gallaecimonas pentaromativorans. Its description in RNAcentral is "t44 RNA". The stretch from base 10 to 97 matches the Rfam family "t44 RNA". Rfam says of the family: This family consists of a number of bacterial RNA genes of between 135 and 170 bases in length. The t44 gene is found between the map and rpsB genes in all species in the full alignment apart from Shigella flexneri. Lineage: Bacteria; Pseudomonadati; Pseudomonadota; Gammaproteobacteria; Enterobacterales; Gallaecimonadaceae. The record is from RNAcentral.
ACAAACCGAUUGCCGCAAACCUAAACCCACACACGUAUCGGCACAUGCGCCGGGGUGCCCGCAAGGGUCGGAUGCAUGGGAUACGUGGAGGCCUAACC